AUUGAACGCUGGCGGCAGGCCUAACACAUGCAAGUCGAACGGUAGCACAGAGGAGCUUGCUCCUUGGGUGACGAGUGGCGGACGGGUGAGUAAUGUCUGGGAAACUGCCCGAUGGAGGGGGAUAACUACUGGAAACGGUAGCUAAUACCGCAUAACGUCGCAAGACCAAAGAGGGGGACCUUCGGGCCUCUUGCCAUCGGAUGUGCCCAGAUGGGAUUAGCUAGUAGGUGGGGUAACGGCUCACCUAGGCGACGAUCCCUAGCUGGUCUUGGAGGAUGACCAGGCACACAGGAACUGGGACACGGUCCAGACUCCUACGGGAGGCAGCAGUGGGGAAUAUCGCACAAUGGGCGCAAGCCUGAUGCAGCCAUGCCGCGUGUAUGAAGAAGGCCUUCGUGUUGUAAAGUACUUUCAGCGGGGAGGAAGGGGUUAAGGUUAAUAACCUUAGCCAUUGACGUUACCCGCAGAAGAAGCACCGGCUAACUCCGUGCCAGCCGCCGCGGUAA
This 506-nucleotide ribosomal RNA is filed under the name uncultured bacterium. RNAcentral describes it as "partial 16S ribosomal RNA". It matches the Rfam family "Bacterial small subunit ribosomal RNA", at positions 30 to 523 of the family's 1533-position model. The record is from RNAcentral.